CCUACGGGAGACAGCAGUGAGGAAUAUUGGUCAAUGGACGAGAGUCUGAACCAGCCAAGUAGCGUGAAGGAUGACUGCCCUAUGGGUUGUAAACUUCUUUUAUAAAGGAAUAAAACGAGGCACGUGUGCCUUUUUGCAUGUACUUUAUGAAUAAGGAUCGGCUAACUCCGUGCCAGCAGCCGCGGUAAUACGGAGGAUCCGUGCGUUAUCCGGAUUUAUUGGGUUUAAAGGGAGCGUAGAUGGGUUGUUAAGUCAGUUGUGAAAGUUUGCGGCUCAACCGUAAAAUUGCAGUUGAUACUGGCAGGCUAGAGUACAGUUGAGGUAGGCGGAAUUCGUGGUGUAGCGGUGAAAUGCAUAGAUAUCACGAAGAACCCCGAUUGCGAAGGCAGCUUACUAAACUGUGACUGACAUUGAUGCACGAAAGUGUGGGUAUCAAACAGGAUUAGAUACCCCAGUAGUC
RNAcentral lists this ribosomal RNA (460 nucleotides) under uncultured bacterium. Its description in RNAcentral is "partial 16S ribosomal RNA". It matches the Rfam family "Bacterial small subunit ribosomal RNA", at positions 338 to 795 of the family's 1533-position model. The record is from RNAcentral.